Molecule: ribosomal RNA, 154 nt
Filed under: Escherichia coli
Lineage: Bacteria; Pseudomonadati; Pseudomonadota; Gammaproteobacteria; Enterobacterales; Enterobacteriaceae
Source: RNAcentral
GGCCUUAGCGCGGUGGUCCCACCUGACCCCAUGCCGAACUCAGAAGUGAAACGCCGUAGCGCCGAUGGUACCCCAUGCCGAACUCAGAAGUGAAACGCCGUAGCGCCGAUGGUAGUGUGGGGUCUCCCCAUGCGAGAGUAGGGAACUGCCAGGC